This 465-nucleotide ribosomal RNA is filed under the name uncultured bacterium. Its description in RNAcentral is "partial 16S ribosomal RNA". It matches the Rfam family "Bacterial small subunit ribosomal RNA", at positions 28 to 507 of the family's 1533-position model. The record is from RNAcentral.
GAUGAACGCUGGCGGCGUGCUUAACACAUGCAAGUCGAACGGAAAGGCUCCUGCUUGCAGGGGUACUCGAGUGGCGAACGGGUGAGUAACACGUGGGUGAUCUGCCCUGCACUUCGGGAUAAGCCUGGGAAACUGGGUCUAAUACCGGAUAGGACCACAUUUUGGAUGGUGUGGUGGAAAGUUUUUCGGUGUGGGAUGAGCUCGCGGCCUAUCAGCUUGUUGGUGGGGUAAUGGCCUACCAAGGCGUCGACGGGUAGCCGGCCUGAGAGGGUGUACGGCCACAUUGGGACUGAGAUACGGCCCAGACUCCUACGGGAGGCAGCAGUGGGGAAUAUUGCACAAUGGGCGCAAGCCUGAUGCAGCGACGCCGCGUGGGGGAUGACGGCCUUCGGGUUGUAAACUCCUUUCGCUAGGGACGAAGCGCAAGUGACGGUACCUGGAGAAGAAGCACCGGCUAACUACGCG